Pecten maximus is the source of this 3386-nucleotide long non-coding RNA. RefSeq lists it as uncharacterized. The transcript has 2 exons. Lineage: Eukaryota; Metazoa; Mollusca; Bivalvia; Pectinida; Pectinidae. The record is from RefSeq and is a predicted model, not a curated record.
GUCUCGGUGAGCUAUUGGUAAUAUCUAAGUGUGUAUUAUCGAAGUCUCAGUGAGCUAUUGGUAAUAUCUAAGUGUGUAUUAUCUAAGUCUCAGUGAGCUAUUGGUAAUAUCUAAGUGUGUAUUAUCGAAGUCUCAGUGAGCUAUUGGUAAUAUCUAAGUGUGUAUUAUCGAAGUCUCAGUGAGCUAUUGGUAAUAUCUAAGUGUGUAUUUUCUAAGUCUCGGUGAGCUAUUGGUAAUAUCUAAGUGUGUAUUAUCCAAGUCUCGGUGAACUAUUGGUAAUAUUUAAGUGUGUAUUAUCUAAGUCUCGGUGAAGUCUCAGUGAUCUAUUGGUAAUAUCUAAGUGUUUAUUAUCUAAGUCUCAGUGAUCUAUUGGUAAUAUCUAAGUGUGUAUUAUCUAAGUCUCAGUGAGCUAUUGGUAAUAUCUAAGUGUGUAUUAUCUAAGUGUCAGUGAGCUAUUGGUAAUAUCUAAGUGUGUAUUAUCUAAGUCUCAGUGAGCUAUUGGUAAUAUCUAAGUGUGUAUUAUCUAAGUCUCAGUGAGCUAUUGGUAAUAUCUAAGUCUCGGUGAGCUAUUGGUAAUAUCUAAGUGUGUAUUAUCUAAGUCUGGGUGAGCUAUUGGUAAUAUCUAAGUGUGUAUUAUCUAAGUCUCGGUGAAGUCUCAGUGAGCUAUUGGUAAUAUCUAAGUGUGUAUUAUCGAAGUCUCAGUGAGCUAUUGGUAAUAUCUAAGUGUGUAUUAUCUAAGUCUCAGUGAGCUAUUGGUAAUAUCUAAGUGUGUAUUAUCUAAGUCUCAGUGAGCUAUUGGUAAUAUCUAAGUGUGUAUUAUCUAAGUCUCAGUGAGCUAUUGGUAAUAUCUAAGUGUGUAGGAUCUAAGUCUCAGUGAGCUAUUGGUGAUAUCUAAGUGUGUAGGAUCUAAGUCUCAGUGAGCUAUUGGUGAUAUCUAAGUGUGUAUUAUCUAAGUCUCAGUGAGCUAUUGGUAAUAUCUAAGUGUGUAGGAUCUAAGUCUCAGUGAGCUAUUGGUAAUAUCUAAGUCUCGGUGAGCUAUUGGUAAUAUCUAAGUGUGUAUUAUCUAAGUCUGGGUGAGCUAUUGGUAAUAUCUAAGUGUGUAUUAUCGAAGUCUCAGUGAGCUAUUGGUAAUAUCUAAGUGUUUAUUAUCUAAGUCUCGGUGAGCUAUUGGUAAUAUUUAAGUGUGUAUUAUCUAAGUCUCAGUGAGCUAUUGGUAAUAUCUAAGUGUGUAUUAUCUAAGUCUCGGUGAGCUAUUGGUAAUAUCUAAGUGUGUAUUAUCUAAGUCACGGUGAACUAUUGGUAAUAUCUAAGUGUGUAGGAUCUAAGUCUCAGUGAGCUAUUGGUAAUAUCUAAGUCUCGGUGAGCUAUUGGUAAUAUCUAAGUGUGUAUUAUCUAAGUCUGGGUGAGCUAUUGGUAAUAUCUAAGUGUGUAUUAUCGAAGUCUCAGUGAGCUAUUGGUAAUAUUUAAGUGUGUAUUAUCUAAGUCUCAGUGAGCUAUUGGUAAUAUCUAAGUGUGUAUUAUCUAAGUCUCAGUGAGCUAUUGAUAAUAUCUAAGUGUGUAUUAUCUAAGUCACGGUGAAGUCUCAGUGAUCUAUUGGUAAUAUCUAAGUGUGUAUUAUCCAAGUCUCGGUGAGCUAUUGGUAAUAUCUAAGUAUGUAUUAUCUAUGUCUCAGAGAGUUUUUGGUAAUAUCUAAGUGUUUAUUAUCCAAGUCUCGGUGAGCUAUUGGUAAUAUCUAAGUAUGUAUUAUCUAAGUCUCAGUGAGCUAUUGGUAAUAUCUAAGUGUUUAUUAUCCAAGUCUCGGUGAGCUAUUGGUAAUAUCUAAGUGUGUAUUAUCUAAGUCUCAGUGAGCUAUUGGUAAUAUCUAAGUCUCAGUGAGCUAUUGGUGAUAUCUAAGUGUGUAUUAUCUAAGUCUCAGUGAGCGAUUGGUAAUAUCUAAGUGUGUAUUAUCCAAGUCUCGGUGAGCUAUUGGUAAUAUCUAAGUGUGUAUUAUCUAAGUCUCAAUGAGCUAUUGGUAAUAUCUAAGUGUGUAUUAUCCAAGUCUCGGUGAGCUAUUGGUAAUAUCUAAGUGUGUAUUAUCCAAGUCUCGGUGAGCUAUUGGUAAUAUCUAAGUGUGUAUUAUCCAAGUCUCGGUGAGCUAUUGGUGAUAUCUAAGUGUGUAUUAUCUAAGUCACGGUGAUCUAUCGGUAAUAUCUAAGUGUGUAUUAUCCAAGUCUCAGUGAGCUAUCGGUAUUAUCUAAGUGUGUAUUUUCUAAGUCUCGGUGAGCUAUUGGUAAUAUCUAAGUGUGUAUUAUCUAAGUCUCGGUGAGCUAUUGGUGAUAUCUAAGUGUGUAUUAUCUAAGUCUCAGUGAGCUAUUGGUAAUAUUUAAGUGUGUAUUAUCUAAGUCUGGGUGAGCUAUUGGUAAUAUCUAAGUGUGUAUUAUCUAAGUCUCGGUGAGCUAUUGGUAAUAUCUAAGUGUGUAUUUUCUAAGUCUCGGUGAGCUAUUGGUAAUAUCUAAGUGUGUAGGAUCGAAGUCUAAGUGAGCUAUUGGUAAUAUUUAAGUGUGUAUUAUCUAAGUCUUGGUGAGCUAUUGGUAAUAUCUAAGUGUGUAUUAUCUAAGUCUCGGUGAGCUAUUGGUAAUAUCUAAGUGUGUAUUAUCUAAGUCACGGUGAAGUCUCAGUGAGCUAUGGGUAAUAUCUAAGUGUAUAAUAUCUAAGUUUCAGUAGCUUAGUUUAUGUAAGCUCUACGAAAUAAAACGAGAUGACAGCGGCGACUGCGUUAAUUGGUUUGUUCACCGAUUAAAGAAUCUACAGCACACACACCAUGUGGUAGUAUGUAGUGAAAUUGAUGGGAAUUUGAUUUCUGAAUUGCGUGACUGUAGUUAGGUUGGGCAAAUUCAUUCUUUAAUUUCUCUUGAAGUGAUAACGAAAACAAUCAAAGUAAUAACUACACGGAAAUCGGUAAACAGUCUGUUACAUUCAAAAUAAGAAUAAUAAAAUGUGUUCCGUUACAUCUUGUCCUCGGCUGAGAAAAAAGCGUAUGCCUUAGCGCUCAGGAAUGGAGUUGCCAUCAUCUUGGACUCAUGUCGUCCCCCAAGGUCCUGGUAUUUACGUCAAGACAGAGACCUAUAUACUAAUAGUAUAUAUGUAUCUGGUCUAGAUAAGCAACGUCAUAUUCAUUACAUAAUUUAGUAUAAGAUAUGCUCGUCUUUCCCCAUAUUUUGUUACGUGUUAGUUCGUAGGAUUUGAGCGAGUACGUCAGUAACUUUGAUGGCAUUUCCUUAUGAGUCCAUAGUCUGUAUUGUAUGUAAUUAUCUGUCAUGUAUGUACUGUAUGUAUUUGAACUGUUAAAUGCAAGGUUUAACGUAAUAAAAGUCCAACUCUCUUUUGUGGUUGUGGCCUAACGAGGA